GGAAUAUUGCGCAAUGGGCGAAAGCCUGACGCAGCCACGCCGCGUGGAGGAAGACACCCCUAUGGGGCGUAAACUCCUUUUCUGUGAGAAGAACCCCCGGGUCGCCCGGGCUGACGGUACCACAGGAAUAAGCACCGGCCACCUCCGUGCCAGCCGCCGCGGUAAUACGGAGGGUGCAAGCGUUGUCCGGAAUCACUGGGUGUAAAGGGUGUGUAGGUGGGACUGUAAGUCAGAGGUGAAAGCCUGCGGCUCAACCGUAGAAUUGCCUUUGAUACUGCAGUUCUUGAGUCCUGGAGAGGCCGCCAGAAUUCGUGGUGUAGCGGUGAAAUGCGUAGAUAUCACGAGGAAUACCAGAGGCGUAGGCGGGUGGCUGGACAGGUACUGACACUGAGGCACGAAAGCGUGGGGAGCGAA
RNAcentral lists this ribosomal RNA (414 nucleotides) under uncultured bacterium. Its description in RNAcentral is "bacterial SSU rRNA". It matches the Rfam family "Bacterial small subunit ribosomal RNA", at positions 358 to 772 of the family's 1533-position model. The record is from RNAcentral.